UGACAGGAUGCUAAGGAUCCAGCAACUCUUGCCAAUCUAAUUGUGUGCUGUCUUCACAUUGGCCUCUCGUUUCCCCACCCAAUUGAAACUUGCACAUCCAGAUCACAUCCUCAUUAAAAGGUCGGCAUCGGCCAAAGAGGGCUUUGACAGAGCAAUUCAGACAGUUGCUUGAAGACCGAGUGUGGUGGGAAGAACACAUUUAACCAUGACGAUAUCAAUGAAACUCAAAAUGAAUGGACAGCCAAGCUCCUUGAGCGGAUGAGCCAAAGUUAGGGUAACUUUUGUAAUUAGAAUUAAAAAACAAAGUAAUUAUAUUUAAGUCAUGCACUUACAUAGUUAAGGCAAGAAUUCCUACAUAUUUGAUCUUGUAGUUUUUAGAUUUGGAAAAUACCGAGUUCUAUUGAUUGUCUGCUUGCUGAUUCUGUCUAAACUAUGUUGUAAUUACACAAGAAUUUAUGAAUACAUAUAAUAGUUGAAAAUAGAGAAAUGAAAAAAAUUCCCAUAUUCUACAUUGGACGUCGGCUUCCAAAAAACUGUCGUCUUAUGUAUUGCAGGGGACGAUGCUUGCACAUAAACUAUUAUCUCAUGUACUGCAGUAGGAUGACGCUUGAGUAGCAACUGUCAUCUCAUUUACUGCAGUGGAUGACGCUUGCACAGAAACUAUCAUCACAUGUACUUAAAGAGACAAUGUUUGUAUAGGAACUAUCCUCUCAUGUACGACAGGAGAUGACGCUUUUAUUUAAAUUUUCGUUUCAUGUUUUACAUGGCAUGACAUUGAACCGACGUACGAGAGUCCAUACGACGGUAUUAGAACCGACGUACAAGAGUCCAUACGACGGUUUAAAACCAUCGUCCCAUGUCAAUUUUGUAGUAGUGUACAGUCUACCAUAGCUUGGUUUUCAGGUCAUGAUCAGUAAAGUUCAAUAGUGAACUAGAUAUGUUUGAAAGGCAAGUGAUUUAAUUUAUAACCAUGUAUGUACUAAUUUCAUUAAAAAUUGAUAGAAUAUGUUACAAAAAAUAAAAAGACACACACGAAAUGGUCUCAAUUUUUGGGACCCCAAUAACUUAAAUACAUGACUGUUCUAAGUGAUUCAUCAGAUUGCUUCAACUUCUCAUCUCUAAACUUAUUAGACACAGCAGUCGAAUACUGAGAAGUUGGGAUCUUCUUGGCAUAGAACUCUCUUCAAUGGCAAAGAAUAAGGGGCUAGUAUUUUGAUUACAUGUAUUGUUAAGUAACCUUAUUUGCUAAUAAUAUUGCAUCCGUUGAGGCUAUUUCAAUGAAUCUGAUUGCUGUAGUUUCUUUGCUUGUGUAUUGAUAGUUUUUCUGCUCUUUUCAUUUUAUAAUCUGGCUCACUCUUGUGCAAAAUAUUGGGUUAGAGAAUCCAAAACUAGAUAGAAAACUAAGCUUUGUUUUGGGUAAUUUCCAUGGAAAUAAAUGUAUAUAUCAUUUUAAUUGAGAUCAGACUAUUGAAAUGUUUUGGAUUAAUGAGAAGUUGCUUCUAUGAAGAUCAGUGAAUUGAGUUUGGUGGUCCUAUUGUUUGAGUUUCUUCCGUAUUCCUUUCUUUUUUUUUCUUUGCUUCCUGAUUCUUCUUUGUUCUUGCUCUGUAGUUCCCAUUUCCACAUCUGCACAUCCAUUCUCCUGUAUAGUGUGGUCACACUCCUGGGUUGGGCUUGCUUCCCUUGUAUAUUCAGUUUUAAAAAAAUUGGAGACACAUAUCAAGGUGCUAAGGAGAAAGUAAAAGAAAGGGAAAAGUUCACAGAAAAUCCUGGGCAGUCAGAAUGCAAGUAUUAUUUGAGGUCAGGGGGGUGUAAAUUUGGAAAAGCGUGUAAAUAUAACCACACUAGAGGAAAGACUUCUGCAACACCAUUAGCACCAGUUCUAGAGUUUAACUUUGUUGGUCUUCCAAUCCGAGUGAGGAAAAAUUUGGUCAAAGGGAAUAUGCAACUAUUUUCAGUGGAACAACAGAGAAGCCAAGCUCUGGAAGCUCAUGCUGCUGCUUUUGCACAAUUUAAAGUUCUAGGGAAUGAGAAUCCUUAUACUCUCAUUUCCUUUGCAACAAAGACUUUUAAUGCUGGCCAAAUUACAUCAAAGCUGCAUGUUAUAGAUCUUGGUGCCCAACCAGGUUGUCCAGCGAUUCCAAGAACUAUUUGCGCAAACGAAGUAUAAAGAAGCUGUUAAACUUGCUGCUGAGUCUCCACAAGGAAUUCUUCGUACUCCUGAUACAGUUGCCAAAAUUCAGGAGAAAAAUGUCUCUUUCUUCAUCAAUUGGAGGAGAAAAGGAUACUUAAUUUUGAAGGCUUUGUAUUGGGCAGUUGUAGAAUAUUUUGUGCUGAAAGUAGUAACUUUUCAAUAUGUUGAAUAUUUAAGACUACUUGAAUACUUAAAUAACAUUUUGUUGUUGAUGACAGUGUUGAAUGUUUUAAACUAAUUUGUGGAUUGUUAAUACAAUGUUGAAUGUUU
This is an RNA transcript of Humulus lupulus (European hop), 2461 nucleotides long. It is a transcript of the gene named zinc finger CCCH domain-containing protein 26-like, with no coding region annotated. NCBI's taxonomy places the organism in Eukaryota, Viridiplantae, Streptophyta, Magnoliopsida, Rosales, Cannabaceae. The record is from RefSeq and is a predicted model, not a curated record. The transcript has 9 exons.